RNAcentral lists this ribosomal RNA (928 nucleotides) under Halomonas elongata. Its description in RNAcentral is "bacterial SSU rRNA". It matches the Rfam family "Bacterial small subunit ribosomal RNA", at positions 56 to 973 of the family's 1533-position model. Lineage: Bacteria; Pseudomonadati; Pseudomonadota; Gammaproteobacteria; Oceanospirillales; Halomonadaceae. The record is from RNAcentral.
UGCAGUCGAGCGGAACGAUCCUAGCUUGCUAGGAGGCGUCGAGCGGCGGACGGGUGAGUAAUGCAUAGGAAUCUGCCCGGUAGUGGGGGAUAACUUGAGGAAACUCAAGCUAAUACCGCAUACGCCCUACGGGGGAAAGCAGGGGCUCUUCGGACCUUGCGCUAUCGGAUGAGCUUAUGUCGGAUUAGCUGGUUGGUGAGGUAACGGCUCACCAAGGCGACGAUCCGUAGCUGGUCUGAGAGGAUGAUCAGCCACAUCGGGACUGAGACACGGCCCGAACUCCUACGGGAGGCAGCAGUGGGGAAUAUUGGACAAUGGGGGCAACCCUGAUCCAGCCAUGCCGCGUGUGUGAAGAAGGCCCUCGGGUUGUAAAGCACUUUCAGCGAGGAAGAAUGCUUGUCGGUUAAUACCCGGCAAGGGAGACAUCACUCGCAGAAGAAGCACCGGCUAACUCCGUGCCAGCAGCCGCGGUAAUACGGAGGGUGCGAGCGUUAAUCGGAAUUACUGGGCGUAAAGCGUGCGUAGGCGGCUUGAUAAGCCGGUUGUGAAAGCCCCGGGCUCAACCUGGGAACGGCAUCCGGAACUGUUAGGCUAGAGUGCAGGAGAGGAAGGUAGAAUUCCCGGUGUAGCGGUGAAAUGCGUAGAGAUCGGGAGGAAUACCAGUGGCGAAGGCGGCCUUCUGGACUGACACUGACGCUGAGGUACGAAAGCGUGGGUAGCAAACAGGAUUAGAUACCCUGGUAGUCCACGCCGUAAACGAUGUCGACUAGCCCGUUGGGGUCCUCGAGACCUUUGUGGGCGCAGUUAACGCACUAAGUCGACCGCCUGGGGGAGUACGGCCCGCAAGGUUAAAACUCAAAUGAAUUGACGGGGGCCCGCACAAGCGGUGGAGCAUGUGGUUUAAUUCGAUGCAACGCGAAGAACCUUA